RNAcentral lists this long non-coding RNA (243 nucleotides) under Elaeis guineensis (African oil palm). Its description in RNAcentral is "long non-coding RNA (EGUI_LNC050550)". The record is from RNAcentral. Lineage: Eukaryota; Viridiplantae; Streptophyta; Magnoliopsida; Arecales; Arecaceae.
GUGGCUGAUCAACGAUUGAGAAUCGUUUAAGAGCUUAAUCAUCAAUUCGAUUGAUGAUUAAUCUUAUGCAAAAGUUGUAACAAAUUAAUUCAUCAAGUUUUAGUGAAUUAAUAGAGGAUUAAUUAGCAAUUAGAUUACUGAUUAGCUCAAUUUGAUUAAGCAAAGAAGAUUAAACAAAAUCUAAUUGAAUUAGAUUCAAUUAGAUUUGACCUGAUUAGGUUAUGAGAUGACCUAAUUGCUAAG